ACACAGCAUGCAAGUUUUCUUGUGCAUGUGCUAACCUGUCACCAGCAAAAAUCAAAGGAUCUUCGCUUGGAUGAAAAAAAUCCCAUUGCACUGGAAAUACUACCAAUGUCGAGUUACGGAUCUCUUUUUUUCCCCUUUCUUCAAAUGUUCUCGUGUACGCCCAUGUGAAUGUGGGUGUAUUCACGAGGAUACCCUUUUUCCUCUUCCGCCUGGUGUGGGAUUUAACUUUUCAGCGGAUGGAUGGAGCAACCGUGGAUGCCUGGCUGGAUUACCCAGGCAAGAUGAACUCGCUAGCAUCUCUCGUGAAUGGCGUGACUGCACAGCUGCUGGUACUUGAAGACUUGUCACGGCGUAAAUAUGACUGAUCGAAGCCCAAUCAAAUAAUUCGUGACUGCUGUUUUAAAAGUUUCGAAACAGCAAAGACGAAGUUUCAGAGAGUUUCAGAAAUUAUAUUUAUUGAAGACUGAACGGAUCUGGUUAGUAAACG
Long non-coding RNA from Daphnia pulicaria, 487 nucleotides. RefSeq lists it as uncharacterized. The record is from RefSeq and is a predicted model, not a curated record. Lineage: Eukaryota; Metazoa; Arthropoda; Branchiopoda; Diplostraca; Daphniidae. The transcript has 4 exons.